CUCCGAUGAUGAUCCAGCCAUGCUAAUACCGAUGCACCAGGCGGACACGUUUUGUCUGCCUGGGUGCGAGUGAGUGCAACUCACCUUCUCACGCUGAUGUGA
Molecule: small nucleolar RNA, 102 nt
Organism: Larimichthys crocea (large yellow croaker)
Lineage: Eukaryota; Metazoa; Chordata; Actinopteri; Sciaenidae
Source: Ensembl